CUGGCGGCGUGCUUAACACAUGCAAGUCGAACGAGAAGAGAUGAGAAGCUUGCUUCUUAUCAAUUCGAGUGGCAAACGGGUGAGUAACGCGUAAGCAACCUGCCCUUCAGAUGGGGACAACAGCUGGAAACGGCUGCUAAUACCGAAUACGUUCUUUUUGUCGCAUGGCAGAGGGAAGAAAGGGAGGCUCUUCGGAGCUUUCGCUGAAGGAGGGGCUUGCGUCUGAUUAGCUAGUUGGAGGGGUAACGGCCCACCAAGGCGACGAUCAGUAGCCGGUCUGAGAGGAUGAACGGCCACAUUGGGACUGAGACACGGCCCAGACUCCUACGGGAGGCAGCAGUGGGGAAUCUUCCGCAAUGGACGAAAGUCUGACGGAGCAACGCCGCGUGAACGAUGACGGCCUUCGGGUUGUAAAGUUCUGUUAUACGGGACGAAUGGUACGACGGUCAAUACCCGUCGUAAGUGACGGUACCGUAAGAGAAAGCCACGGCUAACUACGUG
Molecule: ribosomal RNA, 501 nt
Filed under: uncultured bacterium
Lineage: Bacteria
Description: bacterial SSU rRNA
Rfam family: Bacterial small subunit ribosomal RNA
Source: RNAcentral